UACAGAGACCUCAAGCGUUAUCCGGAUUUAUUGGGCGUAAAGCGCAGGUAGGCGGCUUGAUUAGUCAGGUGUUAAAUAUCGGGGCUCAACCCCGAAUCGGCAUCUGAAACGGUCAGGCUUGAGAAUGUGAGAGAUUGGUGGAAUUCAUAGUGUAGUAGUGAAAUGCGUUGAUAUCACGAGGAACACCCAAGGCGAAGGCAACCAAUUGGCACAUUUCUGACGCUGAGCUGCGAAAGCGUGGGGAGCGAAUGGG
Molecule: ribosomal RNA, 253 nt
Filed under: uncultured bacterium
Lineage: Bacteria
Description: partial 16S ribosomal RNA
Rfam family: Bacterial small subunit ribosomal RNA
Source: RNAcentral